Molecule: unclassified non-coding RNA, 677 nt
Filed under: Hevea brasiliensis (rubber tree)
Lineage: Eukaryota; Viridiplantae; Streptophyta; Magnoliopsida; Malpighiales; Euphorbiaceae
Source: RNAcentral
UGAAAGUGGCUGAAAUCUGCAAAUUUCUUCAAGCUGUGGAUAUAAGCCGAUGCAACAAAAUUACUGCUGUUGGUGUUUCUGAACUCUUUCAGCACUGCAAGUCAUUGCAGACUUUGAGAUGCGGAGGCUGCAGGCUGCCCAAGGAGUGACUACACUGCACGCAACUGCCUGUGCAUGUUGAAACCAAAGUUGAAUGAUAUGGAGGGAGAUUCGUGGGAGGAACUUGAUACUGCUGAAAUUGGCCAUGGUGCAGGAUCCCUGCGGUGGCUUGUGUGGCCGAAGAUUGAUAAAGAUUCAUUGGAGAUCUUGGCCACUGAGUGCCCACGUAUAAUAGUAAAUCCCAAGCCGUCACCCUUUGGUUUUGGAGGAAUUAUGGUUCCUACAGAAGCUUUAACAGACAUUCCACUGGAUGAUCCCAUUGUCAAGGAUAUUGAUCCUAAAACAUGGGCAAUGUGUGGGUUUACAUCAAAACCUGUAGCUGCCUCUAUUUCAAGCCCUACUGAGUUGUCCAUGGCUGAAAAAUUUAGACUUGCAUUUGUGGAAAGAGACACACGCUUAGCACCAAAACGAGCCAAGAAUGCACGACAACAUCAGCGCCGUGCAGAGAGGGAGUGGAUGAUGAUGAGUGCAAAUGCCAAGGCAUUAGCUCUGGCAUCUAAAGCAAGCAAGUCCCUGCA